This 502-nucleotide ribosomal RNA is filed under the name uncultured bacterium. RNAcentral describes it as "partial 16S ribosomal RNA". It matches the Rfam family "Bacterial small subunit ribosomal RNA", at positions 28 to 507 of the family's 1533-position model. The record is from RNAcentral.
GACGAACGCUGGCGGCGUGCCUAAUACAUGCAAGUCGAACGAACCGCGACUGAGUGCUUGCACUUGGUCAAGGUGAGUGGCGAACGGGUGAGUAACACGUGGGUAACCUACCUCAUAGUGGGGGAUAACAGUCGGAAACGACUGCUAAUACCGCAUAGGACAUGGAAUCACAUGAUUCUGUGAGGAAAGGUGGCGCAAGCUAUCGCUAAGAGAUGGACCCGCGGUGCAUUAGCUAGUUGGUAGGGUAAGGGCCUACCAAGGCGAUGAUGCAUAGCCGACCUGAGAGGGUGAGCGGCCAAAUUGGGAAUGAGACACGGCACAAACUCCUACGGGAGGCAGCAGUAGGGAAUCUUCCGCAAUGGACGCAAGUCUGACGGAGCAACGCCGCGUGAGUGAAGAAGGUCUUCGGAUCGUAAAGCUCUGUUGUUAGAGAAGAACAGCGAAUAGAGUAACUGUUAUGCGUGUGACGGUAUCUAACCAGAAAGCAACGGCUAACUACGUG